RNAcentral lists this ribosomal RNA (247 nucleotides) under uncultured bacterium. RNAcentral describes it as "partial 16S ribosomal RNA". It matches the Rfam family "Bacterial small subunit ribosomal RNA", at positions 523 to 769 of the family's 1533-position model. The record is from RNAcentral.
AAACGCAGGAGGCAAGCGUUAUCCGGAUUUACUGGGCGUAAAGCGCGUGCAGGCGGCAUGGCAAGUUGGAUGUGAAAGCUCCCGGCUUAACUGGGAGAGGUCGUUCAAUACUGCCAGGCUUGAGAGUGGUAGAGGGAAGCGGAAUUCCGGGUGUAGUGGUGAAAUGCGUAGAUAUCCGGAGGAACACCAGUGGCGAAAGCGGCUUCCUGGCCCAUUUCUGACGCUCAGACGCGAAAGCUAGGGUAGC